UUUCUUUUAGGCUUCGUUUGGUUCAGAUAUAAGUAAGAGCUAACUUGUACUAGAAAUAGAUACAAGUUUAGAUAUAAGCGAGAACUAUACCAACUUUGUGUUUGAAUGAAAAUUUGGUUGUUCCCGAAAAUAAGAAAAAUAUCGUUUGGAUAAGUAAGAUGGAAUAAGAAGAAUAGUUGAUACUUAUAAAUAGAAAAUAAUGGUAUUAUCCCUCUCAUUAUAUUUGAAUUUAAAUUUUUAAUUUCAAAAUUUAAAAUUUUAACUUUUAAAAUUUAAAAUUUGAAAUUAAAAUUUAAAAUUUUAAUUUUCAAAAUUUUAAUUUUAAAUAUCAAAAUUUAAAUUUAAGGCCAAAUUUAAAUUUGAAAGAUAUAAAAUAUCAAAUUUUAAAUUUAAAACUUAAAAAUAUCAAAUUUAAAAAUUAAAAAUUAAAAAUAUCAAAUUAAAAAUUUAAAAUUCAAAAUUUAGAAUUUUAAAUUAUAAAUUUAAAUUUUAAAUUUUAAAUUUUAAAAAUUUAAAUUCUAAUUUAAAACAAAAAUCUCUCUCCGUAGUUGUUCCCACCCAUCCAUUUUUUUGUUUG
Molecule: long non-coding RNA, 577 nt
Filed under: Ananas comosus (pineapple)
Lineage: Eukaryota; Viridiplantae; Streptophyta; Magnoliopsida; Poales; Bromeliaceae
Description: long non-coding RNA (ACOM_LNC006870)
Source: RNAcentral